GUGGGGAAUCUUGCACAAUGGGGGAAACCCUGAUGCAGCGACGCCGCGUGAGCGAUGAAGCCCUUCGGGGUGUAAAGCUCUUUCGGCAGGGAAGAUUAUGACGGUACCUGCAAAAGCAGCUGCGGCUAACUACGUGCCAGCAGCCGCGGUAAUACGUAGGCAGCAAGCGUUGUUCGGAAUUACUGGGCGUAAAGGGUGCGUAGGCGGUUUUGCAAGUUUGGUGUGAAAUCUCCCGGCUUAACUGGGAGGGUGCGCCGAAAACUGCAAGGCUAGAGUGCGGGAGAGGAGAGUGGAAUUCCUGGUGUAGCGGUGAAAUGCGUAGAUAUCAGGAGGAACACCUGUGGUGUAGACGGCUCUCUGGACCGCAACUGACGCUGAUGCACGAAAGCGUGGGGAGCAAACAGGAUUAGAUACCCCAGUAGUCC
RNAcentral lists this ribosomal RNA (425 nucleotides) under uncultured bacterium. Its description in RNAcentral is "bacterial SSU rRNA". It matches the Rfam family "Bacterial small subunit ribosomal RNA", at positions 354 to 796 of the family's 1533-position model. The record is from RNAcentral.